CAAGAGCGUAUGUAAAAGUUGUUGCAGUUAAAAAGCUCGUAGUUGAACCUUGGGUUUGGUUGGCCGGUCCGCUUUUUUGCGAGUACUGGAUUCAACCAAGCCUUUCCUUCUGGCUAACCAGUCGUUUCGGCGGCUGGCGAACCAGGAUUUUUACUUUGAGAAAAUUAGAGUGUUCAAAGCAGGCAUUAGCUUGAAUAUAUUAGCAUGGAAUAAUAGAAUAGGACGUUAUGGUUCUAUUUUGUUGGUUUCUAGGACCAUCGUAAUGAUUAAUAGGGACGGUCGGGGGCAUCAGUAUUCAGUUGUCAGAGGUGAAAUUCUUGGAUUUACUGAAGACUAACUACUGCGAAAGCAUUUGCCAAGGACGUUUUCAUUAA
This 374-nucleotide ribosomal RNA is filed under the name uncultured eukaryote. RNAcentral's name for it is "partial 18S ribosomal RNA". It matches the Rfam family "Eukaryotic small subunit ribosomal RNA", at positions 592 to 976 of the family's 1831-position model. The record is from RNAcentral.